RNAcentral lists this ribosomal RNA (658 nucleotides) under uncultured Bacteroidota bacterium. RNAcentral's name for it is "bacterial SSU rRNA". It matches the Rfam family "Bacterial small subunit ribosomal RNA", at positions 50 to 697 of the family's 1533-position model. Lineage: Bacteria; Pseudomonadati; Bacteroidota. The record is from RNAcentral.
AACACAUGCAAGUCGAGGGGCAGCGGGAAGUCAGCUUGCUGACUUUGCCGGCGACCGGCGCACGGGUGAGUAACACGUAUCCAACCUCCCGCAUACUCGGGAAUAGCCUUUCGAAAGAAAGAUUAAUGCCCGAUGGUUUCAAGGGAUUGCAUGGUAUCUUGAAUAAAGAUUCAUCGGUAUGCGAUGGGGAUGCGUUCCAUUAGGCAGUUGGCGGGGUAACGGCCCACCAAACCGACGAUGGAUAGGGGUUCUGAGAGGAAGGUCCCCCACAUUGGAACUGAGACACGGUCCAAACUCCUACGGGAGGCAGCAGUGAGGAAUAUUGGUCAAUGGGCGAGAGCCUGAACCAGCCAAGUAGCGUGAAGGAUGACUGCCCUACGGGUUGUAAACUUCUUUUAUAAGGGAAUAAAGUUCUCUACGUGUAGAGUUUUGUAUGUACCUUAUGAAUAAGCAUCGGCUAACUCCGUGCCAGCAGCCGCGGUAAUACGGAGGAUGCGAGCGUUAUCCGGAUUUAUUGGGUUUAAAGGGAGCGUAGACGGCCGUUUAAGUCAGCUGUGAAAUGGUGCGGCUCAACCGUAGCACUGCAGUUGAAACUGGUCGGCUUGAGUGCAGUUGAGGCAGGCGGAAUUCGUGGUGUAGCGGUGAAAUGCUUAGAUUU